This 301-nucleotide ribosomal RNA is filed under the name uncultured bacterium. RNAcentral's name for it is "partial 16S ribosomal RNA". It matches the Rfam family "Bacterial small subunit ribosomal RNA", at positions 509 to 807 of the family's 1533-position model. The record is from RNAcentral.
CAGUAGCCGCGGUAACACGGAGGGAGCUAGCGUUGUUCGGAAUUACUGGGCGUAAAGCGCACGUAGGCGGUUAUUCAAGUCAGAGGUGAAAGCCCGGGGCUCAACCCCGGAACUGCCUUUGAAACUAGAUGACUAGAAUCUUGGAGAGGUCAGUGGAAUUCCGAGUGUAGAGGUGAAAUUCGUAGAUAUUCGGAAGAACACCAGUGGCGAAGGCGACUGACUGGACAAGUAUUGACGCUGAGGUGCGAAAGCGUGGGGAGCAAACAGGAUUAGAUACCCCAGUAGUCCCUGUCUCUUAUAC